UUUAUAACUCUAGCUAUGGGUAAACUUCUGAGCAGUGUUUAGGUUGGAUUGUAGGACAAAUUUUGACUUCUCUUUUAUGGCCAAGCUUUGAAUUUGCAAACGGCAGAUUUGGGUCUUCCACUCUUUAUGAAAGUUUCAGGCCUAUGACUUAACUUUCCAGA
Molecule: non-coding RNA, 161 nt
Organism: Populus trichocarpa (black cottonwood)
Lineage: Eukaryota; Viridiplantae; Streptophyta; Magnoliopsida; Malpighiales; Salicaceae
Source: Rfam